Molecule: ribosomal RNA, 504 nt
Filed under: uncultured bacterium
Lineage: Bacteria
Description: bacterial SSU rRNA
Rfam family: Bacterial small subunit ribosomal RNA
Source: RNAcentral
AGAGUUUGAUUCUGGCUCAGGAUGAACGCUGGCGGCGUGCUUAACACAUGCAAGUCGAACGGAGUUUUAACGGAAGUUUCGGAUGGAAGUUAAAACUAGUGGCGGACGGGUGAGUAACGCGUGGGUAACCUGCCUCAUACAGGGGGAUAACAGUUAGAAAUGACUGCUAACACCGCAUAAUAUAGCGAAACCGCAUGAUUUUGCUAUCAAAUAUUUAUAGGUAUGAGAUGGGCCCGCGUCUGAUUAGCUAGUUGGUGGGGUAAAAGCCUACCAAGGCGACGAUCAGUAGCCGGCUUGAGAGAGUGACCGGCCACAUUGGGACUGAGACACGGCCCAAACUCCUACGGGAGGCAGCAGUGGGGAAUAUUGGACAAUGGGGGAAACCCUGAUCCAGCGACGCCCGCGUGAGUGAAGAAGUAUUUCAGUAUGUAAAGCUCUAUCAGCAGGGAAGAUAAUGACAGUACCUGACUAAGAAGCCCCGGCUAACUACGUGCCAGCAGCCGC